Molecule: non-coding RNA, 109 nt
Filed under: Blautia sp.
Lineage: Bacteria; Bacillati; Bacillota; Clostridia; Lachnospirales; Lachnospiraceae
Also listed under: 1 other name
Description: TPP sequence
Rfam family: TPP riboswitch aptamer (THI element)
About the family: Vitamin B(1) in its active form thiamin pyrophosphate (TPP) is an essential coenzyme that is synthesised by coupling of pyrimidine and thiazole moieties in bacteria.
Source: RNAcentral
GAAUAGAAAACGGGGAGCUUGCAUAAGCAGGCUGAGAGGAGACUGGCAGCGUUUCGACCCAUAACCUGAUUUGGAUAAUGCCAACGUAGGGAUGAUUUACAGAGAAAAA